This is a non-coding RNA of Kogia breviceps (pygmy sperm whale), 335 nucleotides long. NCBI's taxonomy places the organism in Eukaryota, Metazoa, Chordata, Mammalia, Artiodactyla, Physeteridae. The record is from RefSeq and is a predicted model, not a curated record.
CCCGGGCCCGGCCGGCGGCAGGGUGGCGCCCUCGGGGGCCCUCCCGAGGGUCAGCUGCGGACGGCGGCCGGGGCGCGGCGGGCGCGGGAAGCCAGAGGACGGCUGACUCAUCUUCCUUCCCGCCGCCUCCCCUCUGCUAUAGUCUGGGAAACUGCCAGGUUCUGAGCCAGAGAAGGAAGAGGAUGGCCUCACCCUGUGGACCCCACCCUCCAGGAAUGGAUUUAUGCUUCACUGUUGGUGGCAACUAUAGAAACCACAGGUGCUGGGACGCCCUCCUGAAGCCUUCAAUGUGGCUGCUUCCCAGUGAAGAGCGAGGGUGCCCCCAUCUGAUACCC